CCUACGGGUGGCUGCAGUAAGGAAUAUUGGUCAAUGGACGCAAGUCUGAACCAGCCAUGCCGCGUGAAGGAUGAAGGUCCUCUGGAUUGUAAACUUCUUUUAUAGGGGACGAAACCCGGACAAUCCUGUCCGAUUGACGGUACCCUGGGAAUAAGCACCGGCUAACUCCGUGCCAGCAGCCGCGGUAAUACGGAGGGUGCAAGCGUUAUCCGGAUUCACUGGGUUUAAAGGGUGCGUAGGCGGGCAGGUAAGUCAGUGGUGAAAUCCUAGAGCUU
This 275-nucleotide ribosomal RNA is filed under the name uncultured bacterium. Its description in RNAcentral is "partial 16S ribosomal RNA". It matches the Rfam family "Bacterial small subunit ribosomal RNA", at positions 338 to 610 of the family's 1533-position model. The record is from RNAcentral.